ACAGCAGCCGCCACGGGAAUACGGAGGGAGCUAGCGUUGUUCGGAAUUACUGGGCGUAAAGCGCACGUAGGCGGCUUUGUAAGUUAGAGGUGAAAGCCUGGAGCUCAACUCCAGAAUUGCCUUUAAGACUGCAUCGCUUGAAUCCGAGAGAGGUGAGUGGAAUUCCGAGUGUAGAGGUGAAAUUCGUAGAUAUUCGGAAGAACACCAGUGGCGAAGGCGGCUCACUGGCUCGGUAUUGACGCUGAGGUGCGAAAGCGUGGGGAGCAAACAGGAUUAGAUACCCCAGUAGUCCCUGUCUCUUAUAA
Molecule: ribosomal RNA, 305 nt
Filed under: uncultured bacterium
Lineage: Bacteria
Description: partial 16S ribosomal RNA
Rfam family: Bacterial small subunit ribosomal RNA
Source: RNAcentral